GAUGAACGCUGGCGGCGUGCCUAAUACAUGCAAGUCGAGCGAACGGACGAGAAGCUUGCUUUUCUGAUGUUAGCGGCGGACGGGUGAGUAACACGUGGAUAACCUACCUAUAAGACUGGGAUCACUUCGGGAAACCGGAGCUAAUACCGGAUAAUCUUUUGAACCGCAUGGUUCAAAAGUGAAAGACGGUCUUGCUGUCACUUAUAGAUGGAUCCGCGCUGCAUGAGCUAGUUGGUAAGGUAACGGCUUACCAAGGCAACGAUGCAUAGCCGACGUGAGAGGGGGAUCGGCCACACGAGAACGUAGACACGCACCAGGCUCCUAAGAGAGGGCGCAGUAGCGAAUGGGACGCAAUGGGCGAAAGCCUGACAGAACAACGGGGAGUGAGAGACGAAGGCGUUCGGAGCGUAAAAACCUGUUAUGGGUUAAGAACCUAUGUGGACUGAAAUGAAGAGAUCGUGACGGUAACGAAUAAGAAAGCAACGGCUAACUACGUG
This 497-nucleotide ribosomal RNA is filed under the name uncultured bacterium. RNAcentral's name for it is "partial 16S ribosomal RNA". It matches the Rfam family "Bacterial small subunit ribosomal RNA", at positions 28 to 507 of the family's 1533-position model. The record is from RNAcentral.